AAGAGCAACACCGCAGCCUGCAGACAGGCGCUGAAGAUACCAAAGGGUAGUUCAGAUUACACGGUCACCUGGAAAGGGGGCCAUUUUACUUUUU
This is a small RNA of Shigella dysenteriae Sd197, 94 nucleotides long. It matches the Rfam family "Enterobacterial sRNA STnc70". NCBI's taxonomy places the organism in Bacteria, Pseudomonadati, Pseudomonadota, Gammaproteobacteria, Enterobacterales, Enterobacteriaceae. The record is from Rfam.